Molecule: ribosomal RNA, 506 nt
Filed under: uncultured bacterium
Lineage: Bacteria
Description: partial 16S ribosomal RNA
Rfam family: Bacterial small subunit ribosomal RNA
Source: RNAcentral
GAUGAACGCUAGCGGCAGGCCUAACACAUGCAAGUCGAGGGGCAGCACAUAAAGUGGUUUACUACUUUUGGUGGCGACCGGCGGACGGGUGCGUAACGCGUAUGCAACCUGCCUCCAACAGGGGGAUAACGGAGAGAAAUUUCCACUAAUACCCCAUAAUAUCAGAAUCGGCAUCGGUUUUGGUUGGAAACUCCGGCGGUUGGAGAUGGGCAUGCGUUGUAUUAGAUAGUUGGUGAGGUAACGGCUCACCAAGUCAACGAUACAUAGGGGGACUGAGAGGUUAGCCCCCCACACUGGUACUGAGACACGGACCAGACUCCUACGGGAGGCAGCAGUGAGGAAUAUUGGUCAAUGGGGGCAACCCUGAACCAGCCAUGCCGCGUGCAGGAAGACGGCUCUAUGAGUUGUAAACUGCUUUUACAAGGGGAUAAAUCGGUGUACGUGUACACCGUUGAAGGUACCUUGGGAAUAAGGAUCGGCUAACUCCGUGCCAGCCGCCGCAGUAA